Molecule: long non-coding RNA, 291 nt
Filed under: Mytilus galloprovincialis (Mediterranean mussel)
Lineage: Eukaryota; Metazoa; Mollusca; Bivalvia; Mytilida; Mytilidae
Source: RNAcentral
GUUUGUUUUCUCUUAUUUUUGAGUGUAAAUUGACAUUGCGAUAAGACGUGUCACGGUACUUGUCUAUCCCAAAUUCAUGUAUUUGUUUUUGAUGUUAUAUUUGUUAUUCUCGUGGGAUUUUGUCUGAUGCUUGGUCCGUUUCUGAGUGUGUUAGUUACAUUGUAGUGUUGUGUCGUUGUUCUCCUCUUAUAUUUAUGCGUUUCCGUCAGUUUUAGUUUGUUACCCCGAUUUUGUUUUUUUGUCCAUGGAUUUAUGAGUUUGAACAGCGGUAUACUACUGUUGCCUUUUUUU